CAGGGUCUCCUCGAAGAGGAUGACCCCGGAGAGGUAGUCGAACACGCCGGGCGCCGUAAAAAGCAACUCCCGGAGCGCCUGCCGGUUGGACUCCACGUUCUCGAGGUUGAUGCUGGAGAGGCGCUUACCGAUGGUGCCCGUCGACUCGUCGGAGGCCAGGAUGCCCUUGCCCGGCGUCGCGAGGUACUUGGCGGUCUUGACCAUCUCAUCUGCAAUACAAAAUUACAAAUACGUAGGCGUAAGCACAAAACGGUGUGUAUUGUGCUAUUGUGUAUACCACUAAUUAACUACAAAACUAUCAUUAAUUUCCUCCAUUACUCGAUCGAUCUACUAUAAUUUAUUUUUCAAAAUCAAUGUCUCUUUAAUCAAAGAUGGAACUGAAUUUUUCUUUCAACUUAAAAUUAUGUUUAAAACACAACAACUCAACAUGUAUUUUUGUAAAUUUUCUAAAAGAUAGCUCAUUUUUUGUUAAAAAGAUAGCUCAUUUUUUGUGUUAAAAAACGAAGCGUAGCGCCACUACACCGGAUGGUACAUGCUGCCUCAGUUUUUAUUUAUAUAAGGCCAGUCUCAACUCAAUGCAUAGUUUUAUGAAAGUUUCAUGAUUAUUAAAUUGUAUGCCAUAUCAGUAAUUUUACUUACUUGGCAAGACCAUAAUGAGGAGAGAGAAGGGAGAGUUUGAUCAGAUGUGAGAAGAAUUUCAUCCCUAUGACACUCAUCAAGCACAGUUACUAAGUUCUUAAUCUUGGUAACUAUGCAAUAAAACUAUGCGUUGAGAUUGGCCUAAGGUGCAUGCGCAUAUCAAAAUUCAAACUUUGCAACCUUUGACCAAUAACUUGACAUCAAUUUUUUAUUUUUAUAAUGUAAAUUUUAUAUGGUUGGAUUCAUAAUCAAAUAUACUCUACAAUGAUUAUAAAUUGAUAACUAUAAAUAAUAUAAUAUAUGAUAAAUGAAUUGUAUUUGGAAGAUCGUGCUAAGUCAUACCAUGCCUUAUAAACAUAGAUGGAUGGAGUACUGUUGAGCAAAUUUGAAAUUACUUUGCAAUUGCACUACUGGAACUGCACAAAGAUUUUUUUUAAAAAAAAAUAAAUACUACACAAUUACACAAACGUGCACAUCAACAACUUUGCACCUUUGCAAGGGUAUGGAAAAGUAGACUGAGAUAUAGGUCAACAAGAACCUGCAUAUUUUCCCACAAAGGCAGACAUGGCGACCCCGUCGGAUGGAAGAGGCUUCGUGUGAGGAGAAUCAAGGGAGCAGGAGCAAAAGCCAAACGCGUGUGGCCGGAGAGCCGAGCAUUUUCAGUGGCUGCCCUUUAUAAACCACCAACAGGGAGAGGUAUACCAAAUACCCACGACGAAUCCAUGAUUCAUGGCCUCAUGCACCCUUGGAAUCCCCAUCACCCGUUUCCGGAUAGGGGAGCAGCGGCACUGAGCCACCCAAAUACAAAUUCUGAAGGCCAAACCAAAUAAUGCUUUCCAUUUAAAUAAAGUAAACACUCACAAUUUCCUUUUCUUACAAAAGAAACAAUGAAAGAAACCAGACAAGUGGUGGUGAUGUGGACUUUAUCCCUGCAGGCUGAAUGUAAGGAUAGGAUCAGUUUUCUGAGAUGAAAGGAAGGUAUGAGAACGUGAAGCAUACAUGUAUUCGCUUUCUCCGCCAUGAGCACAAGUUGUUUUUUCUCGAACAACGCAAGAGAGCUGCGUGUCAACAGAACAAGAUAGAAAAGAGCGUACAACGAGUUCGGUUAAGGACCAAAACCCGAGUACAAAGAGUCAAAGACCCAUACCCACACACUCACAAGAAAGAGGAGUUUCCAUGUUUCCCAGAUUCUAUUAUUUGUUUAUUACUCUUAGUCUAUUGUUGGCUGUAACUUUUACUUCUUCAGUUAAGGUUGAAAUUCAGUACCCUUCGACAUUUUCUGCUUUUCUUCAGUCUAUUUGAUUGUCCAUCAGACAUUGCAUCCAGGCUCCUUACACCAUGCAGUUGGUGGAUAUGAACAGGGUAAAGAAGGGAAUAUAUCCUAUUUUCCAUUUACUUUCCUUUUGUGUUGAUUAGUUGCUUGAAAACUUUACAAAUGCUACUCAGAUAGGUAAACUUAAACAGUCAUUUGGUUGAGUUUUUUGAAGGCUCAUGUUCUGAUGCAGUUCGAGGUCAAAAGUUUGCAGAGUUAUUUCCCAGUUACCAAGAUCAAUGACUGACUUAUUAGGAUGAUAAAAAGUAUAUGGUCAAAGGGAUGAUAUGAU
Molecule: long non-coding RNA, 2243 nt
Filed under: Setaria viridis
Lineage: Eukaryota; Viridiplantae; Streptophyta; Magnoliopsida; Poales; Poaceae
Description: long non-coding RNA (SVIR_LNC004993)
Source: RNAcentral